AAGAAAGAACUCCAAACACUCCACUAAUGGCAGAUUGCAUGUGCAAGGCUUCUCCUUCCUUUGGACUGCACGUCACUCCUUCUUUCUCCUCCUUUAGUGGCUGCACAAGGUGGAUGAAUGGUUAUGGAAGGAUGUAGGAAUGGUUUGGGGAAGAGGAUGGUGCGGCAAGGUUGGAAAUAGGGUUUUGGACGAAUUUCUGAAUAUGGAGAGGGUAUCUUCGGCCAAAGGGUUUAAAGGAGUAUAUAUAGGCACUUCAAACCCUAGCAAUCAGAUUAGGGUUAGAGGUGGGCCUUCUAGAAUGCCUUGCAAGGCAAGGAAAUCAGGUAUUUUGGGGCCCUAGGUGCGGCAGAGAUUAG
Molecule: long non-coding RNA, 356 nt
Filed under: Malus domestica (apple)
Lineage: Eukaryota; Viridiplantae; Streptophyta; Magnoliopsida; Rosales; Rosaceae
Description: long non-coding RNA (MDOM_LNC006023)
Source: RNAcentral